RNAcentral lists this ribosomal RNA (497 nucleotides) under uncultured bacterium. Its description in RNAcentral is "partial 16S ribosomal RNA". It matches the Rfam family "Bacterial small subunit ribosomal RNA", at positions 28 to 507 of the family's 1533-position model. The record is from RNAcentral.
GAUGAACGCUGGCGGCGUGCCUAAUACAUGCAAGUCGAGCGAACAGACGAGGAGCUUGCUCCUCUGACGUUAGCGGCGGACGGGUGAGUAACACGUGGAUAACCUACCUAUAAGACUGGGAUAACUUCGGGAAACCGGAGCUAAUACCGGAUAAUAUAUUGAACCGCAUGGUUCAAUAGUGAAAGACGGUUUUGCUGUCACUUAUAGAUGGAUCCGCGCCGCAUUAGCUAGUUGGUAAGGUAACGGCUUACCAAGGGAACGAUGCGUAUCCGACCUGAGAGGGUGAUAGGCCGCACUGGAAUUAAGACACGGUCCAGACUCCUACGGAAGGCAGCAGUAGGGAAUCUUCCGCAAGGGGCGAAAACCUGACGGAACAACGCCGCGUGAGUGAUGAAGGUCUUCGGAUCGUAAAACUCUGUUAUUAGGGAAGAACAAAUGUGUAAGUAACUAUGCACGUCUUGACGGUACCUAAUCAGAAAGCCACGGCUAACUACGUG